This 716-nucleotide long non-coding RNA is filed under the name Haliotis rufescens (red abalone). RNAcentral describes it as "uncharacterized LOC125372071". Lineage: Eukaryota; Metazoa; Mollusca; Gastropoda; Lepetellida; Haliotidae. The record is from RNAcentral.
GUGGAUUUCGACCGGGAUUUCCGUGUUAGAGGUGAUUGAGAACAAUGUAUUGAUACACGAGGUAAGCAUAUCGCAAUCAAGCAUCACGGUGUACAUCGAUUACACGAGGUUUAAGUGUUUCUUUACAUUUGUGUUCCAAAAUGGCGCCCUCGGUCAUACAGGGAGUUAUGGGUAGACUUGCUUGUCCCGGAAUAACACGAGUUGGUCACGAAUGACGAGCGGUCAUUUCUGCAGCAGUUACGGAAAGAGACGAGGUUGGCCGAUUACAGUUCAUACAGGCCAUAUUGGGAGCCGCGGAGAUUUCGACAGUGUGUGUUAGGAAGUAUAUCUAUGUGGUGUAUGGAAUAUGCGUUUGCCUACCAUGCCAGGCAGUGUGACAAGGGAUAUCCCAGCGGAUGUAAUAUUCCUACAGCAGAAAUGUUUCACAACCUCGAUUGCAGGGAGCUGAAGACGUGACAUAUUCAGACAGAGACCAUAAUACAUAGACUGUUAUAUGGUCUCUGAUUCAGGUGUGAAGAAUCAAGAACAAAUUAAAUGACAGGAGUUUUGCAACAGUGAACAUUGUGAAGUGGAAGAUAAGACAUUUGAAAGGUACCUGGAUUUCACAAUCUGACACCAGCUACAUUUAAGAAGAUCUUGCUCACACAAUUCAGACAAGGGACUCGCCGGAUGAUGAACAGUACUCCUGAUAACAACAAACAGAUUCACCUCAGAAA